Molecule: long non-coding RNA, 206 nt
Filed under: Lotus japonicus
Lineage: Eukaryota; Viridiplantae; Streptophyta; Magnoliopsida; Fabales; Fabaceae
Description: long non-coding RNA (LJAP_LNC001035)
Source: RNAcentral
UUACAAAGAACCCAAAGCAAAAGGGAUUUAGCCAAACAUGACUAUGAAAUCCAUACAAGAAGAUAAAGAUGAAACCUGAAACAUAGGGCUUAGAGAAAGCUCCUCAAGCUCCAUAACUCAAACCCUCUCUUCUAACUUAUGAAAAUAUGAUAAAAUGAAAAAAGGUUCCAAGAGAAAUGUCUAAAAACCAAUUUAUAGGCAAAACA